UAUUUAGUGACAAUCAAGUCUCGUUUUAGCAUUAAGAAAGUCUCGUUUUCCAUGAGAUUUCGCAGCCUAUAUAUAUUUCGAAACUUGGUCGCUUCUGCCUUUAUUCUUCUUCUGCGGCUGAAGUGGUCGGAUGCGAGGCAAAAUUUUAUGUGCUCACGGAUCUGAGAGAUUCAUGGACAAGUACAGCACUCAGCAAUGCAUCCAGGUGGCAAAAUUCUUCUACCAAAAUCAGGGGUCGAUAAUUCAGACCCAGGAGCAUACUGUCGACACGUGCAGGUGAGAGAUGCACCAGAUUCAAAAGACACUGUGGCUUCUCCGUGGAAAAGUUGCUGGAAUGCUCUGGAUGAGCAUUGGAAACCUAGGUACUAGUCACGUAGACUGGACCCGGUGCGCGCAGACGUGCUAGCCAGUCGUGGGUGGUCGACUUGCGGAUGCAAAUGAGCUGGUUUGCGAUCAACAUAAAAUACUAUUUUACAGAAUAAAGUAAAUAAUUUUUAAAACUUAUAUAAUAAUUUUUUUUUACA
This is a long non-coding RNA of Octopus sinensis (East Asian common octopus), 524 nucleotides long. RefSeq lists it as uncharacterized. The transcript has 3 exons. NCBI's taxonomy places the organism in Eukaryota, Metazoa, Mollusca, Cephalopoda, Octopoda, Octopodidae. The record is from RefSeq and is a predicted model, not a curated record.